This 72-nucleotide transfer RNA is filed under the name Gasterosteus aculeatus (three-spined stickleback). It matches the Rfam family "tRNA". From Rfam's summary of the family: Transfer RNA (tRNA) molecules are approximately 80 nucleotides in length. Their secondary structure includes four short double-helical elements and three loops (D, anti-codon, and T loops). The record is from Rfam by way of RNAcentral. Lineage: Eukaryota; Metazoa; Chordata; Actinopteri; Perciformes; Gasterosteidae.
UCCCUGAUGUUCUAGUGGCUAGCAUUUGGCGCUUUCACCGCCGCGGCCCGGGUUCAAUUCCCGGUCAGGGAA